AGAGUUUGAUCCUGGCUCAGGAUGAACGCUGGCGGCGUGCCUAAUACAUGCAAGUCGAGCGAACCACUUCGGUGGGAAGCGGCGAACGGGUGAGUAACACGUAGGUGAUCUGCCCAUCAGACGGGGACAACGAUUGGAAACGAUCGCUAAUACCGGAUAGGACGAAAGUUUAAAGAUGCUUCUGGCAUCACUGAUGGAUGAGCCUGCGGCGCAUUAGCUAGUUGGUGGGGUAAAGGCCUACCAAGGCGACGAUGCGUAGCCGACCUGAGAGGGUGAACGGCCACACUGGGACUGAGACACGGCCCAGACUCCUACGGGAGGGCAGCAGUAGGGAAUCUUCGGCAAUGGGCGAAAGCCUGACCGAGCAACGCCGCGUGAAUGAAGAAGGCCUUCGGGUUGUAAAAUUCUGUUAUAAGGGAAGAAAGGUGAUAGGAGGAAAUGACUAUCAAUUGACGGUACCUUAUGAGAAAGCCACGGCUAACUACGUG
Molecule: ribosomal RNA, 488 nt
Filed under: uncultured Turicibacter sp.
Lineage: Bacteria; Bacillati; Bacillota; Erysipelotrichia; Erysipelotrichales; Turicibacteraceae
Description: bacterial SSU rRNA
Rfam family: Bacterial small subunit ribosomal RNA
Source: RNAcentral